AUUCCAGCUCCAAUAGCGUAUAUUAAAGUUGUUGCGGUAAAAAAGCUCGUAGUUGGAUUUCUGUUGAGGGCGACCGGUCCAUACAACGUAUGCGUAUCUGGCUCGGCCUCGGCAUCCUCUCGAUAGACGUUUCUGCGCUUGAUUGCGUGGAGCGGAUCUCGGGACUUUUACUUUGAGGAAAUUAGAGUGUUCACGGCAGGCUAUCGCCAGAAUACAUUAGCAUGGAAUAAUACUAUAGGAUCUUGAUUCUAUUUUGUUGGUUUCUAGAAUUGAGAUAAUGAUUAAUAGGGACAAUUGGGGGCAUUCGUAUCAACACGUCAGAGGUGGAAUUCUUGGAUUGUGUUGCGACGAACUACUGCGAAAGCAUUUGCCAAGGAUGCUUUCAUUA
This 388-nucleotide ribosomal RNA is filed under the name Syndiniales sp. RNAcentral describes it as "partial small subunit ribosomal RNA". It matches the Rfam family "Eukaryotic small subunit ribosomal RNA", at positions 582 to 975 of the family's 1831-position model. The record is from RNAcentral. Lineage: Eukaryota; Dinophyceae; Syndiniales.